UGAGGAAUAUUGGGCAAUGGGCGCAAGCCUGACCCAGCCAUGCCGCGUGAAGGAUGAAUGCCCUAUGGGUUGUAAACUUCUUUUGUACGGGACAAAACUCUCGGUCGUGACCGGGAUUGAUGGUACUGUAUGAAUAAGCAUCGGCUAACUCCGUGCCAGCAGCCGCGGUAAUACGGAGGAUGCGAGCGUUAUCCGGAUUCAUUGGGUUUAAAGGGUGCGUAGGCGGAAUAAUAAGUCAGUGGUGAAAGCUUGCGGCUUAACCGUAAAAUUGCCGUUGAUACUGUUAUUCUUGAGUAUAGUUGAAGUGGGCGGAAUGUGUAAUGUAGCGGUGAAAUGCUUAGAUAUUACACAGAACACCAAUUGCGAAGGCAGCUCACUAAGCUGUUACUGACGCUGAGGCACGAAAGCGUGGGGAGCAAACAGG
RNAcentral lists this ribosomal RNA (424 nucleotides) under uncultured bacterium. RNAcentral's name for it is "bacterial SSU rRNA". It matches the Rfam family "Bacterial small subunit ribosomal RNA", at positions 355 to 776 of the family's 1533-position model. The record is from RNAcentral.